GAUGAACGCUGGCGGCGUGCUUAACACAUGCAAGUCGAACGAUGAAGCCCAGCUUGCUGGGUGGAUUAGUGGCGAACGGGUGAGUAACACGUGAGUAACCUGCCCUUAACUCUGGGAUAAGCCUGGGAAACUGGGUCUAAUACCGGAUAGGAGCGUCCACCGCAUGGUGGGUGUUGUAAAGAUUUAUCGGUUUUGGAUGGACUCGCGGCCUAUCAGCUUGUUGGUGAGGUAAUGGCUCACCAAGGCGACGACGGGUAGCCGGCCUGGGAGGGUGACCGGCCACACUGGGACUGAGACACGGCCCAGACUCCUACGGGAGGCAGCAGUGGGGAAUAUUGCACAAUGGGCGCAAGCCUGAUGCAGCGACGCCGCGUGAGGGAUGACGGCCUUCGGGUUGUAAACCUCUUUCAGUAGGGAAGAAGCGAAAGUGACGGUACCUGCAGAAGAAGCACCGGCUAACUACGUG
RNAcentral lists this ribosomal RNA (466 nucleotides) under uncultured bacterium. RNAcentral's name for it is "partial 16S ribosomal RNA". It matches the Rfam family "Bacterial small subunit ribosomal RNA", at positions 28 to 507 of the family's 1533-position model. The record is from RNAcentral.